RNAcentral lists this ribosomal RNA (684 nucleotides) under uncultured bacterium. RNAcentral describes it as "bacterial SSU rRNA". It matches the Rfam family "Bacterial small subunit ribosomal RNA", at positions 9 to 687 of the family's 1533-position model. The record is from RNAcentral.
GAGUUUGAUCCUGGCUCAGGACGGACGCUGGCGGCGUGCCUAACACAUGCAAGUCGAACGGAGCUAGACGCUGAGGACGUAGCUUGCUAUUGAAUCUUGUUUAGCUUAGUGGCGGACGGGUGAGUAACGCGUGAGCAACCUACCUUUCAGAGGGGGAUAACGUUUGGAAACGAACGCUAAUACCGCAUGAUAUUAUUGGGCAGCAUUGCCUGAUAAUCAAAGGAGCAAUCCGCUGAAAGAUGGGCUCGCGUCCGAUUAGGCAGUUGGCGGGGUAACGGCCCACCAAGCCGACGAUCGGUAGCCGGACUGAGAGGUUGAACGGCCACAUUGGGACUGAGACACGGCCCAGACUCCUACGGGAGGCAGCAGUGAGGGAUAUUGGUCAAUGGGGGAAACCCUGAACCAGCAACGCCGCGUGAGGGAAGACGGUUUUCGGAUUGUAAACCUCUGUCCUCUGUGAAGAUGAUGACGGUAGCAGAGGAGGAAGCUCCGGCUAACUACGUGCCAGCAGCCGCGGUAAUACGUAGGGAGCAAGCGUUGUCCGGAUUUACUGGGUGUAAAGGGUGCGUAGGCGGCUUUGCAAGUCAGAAGUGAAAUCUAUGGGCUUAACCCAUAAACUGCUUUUGAAACUGCAGGGCUUGAGUGAAGUAGAGGUAGGCGGAAUUCCCGGUGUAGCGGUGAAAU